AGCAGCCGCGGUAAUUCCAGCUCCAAUAGCGUAUAUUAAAGUUGCUGCAGUUAAAAAGCUCGUAGUUGAAUUUCGGGGUCAAUAUGUUGGUCGUGCCUUGGUACGUACUAGCUUAUUGAUUUCUCCUUUCUGGCGAACCAUGAUGUCAUUAAUUUGGUGUCAUGGGGAAUCAGGACUGUUACUUUGAAAAAAUUAGAGUGUUUAAAGCAGGCUCGCGCUUGAAUACAUUAGCAUGGAAUAAUGAAAUAGGACAUUUGAUUCUAUUUUGUUGGUUUCUAGGAUCGAUGUAAUGAUUAAUAGGGAUAGUUGGGGGCAUUAGUAUUCAAUUGUCAGAGGUGAAAUUCUUGGAUUUAUUGAAGACUAACUACUGCGAAAGCAUUUGCCAAGGAUGUUUUCAUUAAUCAAAAACGAAAGUUAGGGGAUCGAAGACGAUCAGAUACCGUCGUAGUCUUAACCAUAAACUAUGCCGACUAGGGAUCGGAUGAUGUUAAUUUUUUAAUGACUCAUUCGGCGCCUUACG
Molecule: ribosomal RNA, 520 nt
Filed under: uncultured Glomus
Lineage: Eukaryota; Fungi; Glomeromycota; Glomeromycetes; Glomerales; Glomeraceae
Description: SSU rRNA
Rfam family: Eukaryotic small subunit ribosomal RNA
Source: RNAcentral